RNAcentral lists this ribosomal RNA (508 nucleotides) under uncultured bacterium. Its description in RNAcentral is "bacterial SSU rRNA". It matches the Rfam family "Bacterial small subunit ribosomal RNA", at positions 29 to 518 of the family's 1533-position model. The record is from RNAcentral.
AAUCAACGCUGGCGGCGUGCCUAACACAUGCAAGUCGAACGCGGUUACCCCGCAAGGGGUAACUGAGUGGCGAACGGGUGAGUAACACGUGGGUGACCUACCUUCGAAUGGGGGAUAACGUCCCGAAAGGGACGCUAAUACCGCAUAACAUCCUGCCUUUGAACAGGCGGAGAUCAAAGCCGGGGAUCGUAAGACCUGGCGUUUGGAGAGGGGCCCGCGUCCGAUUAGCUAGUUGGUGAGGUAACGGCNCACCAAGGCCACGAUCGGUAGCCGGCCUGAGAGGGCGGACGGCCACACUGGGACUGAGACACGGCCCAGACUCCUACGGGAGGCAGCAGUGGGGAAUUGUUCGCAAUGGGCGCAAGCCUGACGACGCAACGCCGCGUGGAGGAUGAAGGUCUUCGGAUUGUAAACUCCUGUUGCCCGGGACGAAUAGCUCCGACCCAACACGUCGGAGUCUGACGGUACCGGGUGAGGAAGCCCCGGCUAACUCUGUGCCAGCAGCCGC